AUUGAACGCUGGCGGCAGGCUUAACACAUGCAAGUCGAGCUGGGGAGGUUGCUUCGGUAACUGACCUAGCGGCGGACGGGUGAGUAAUACUUAGGAAUCUGCCUAUUAAUGGGGGACAACAUCUCGAAAGGGAUGCUAAUACCGCAUACGCCCUACGGGGGAAAGCAGGGGAUCACUUGUGACCUUGCGUUAAUAGAUGAGCCUAAGUCGGAUUAGCUAGUUGGUGGGGUAAGGGCCUACCAAGGCGACGAUCUGUAGCGGGUCUGAGAGGAUGAUCCGCCACACUGGGACUGAGGCACGGCCAGGACUCCUACGGGAGGCAGCAGUGGGGAAUAUUGGACAAUGGGGGGAACCCUGAUCCAGCCAUGCCGCGUGUGUGAAGAAGGCCUUAUGGUUGUAAAGCACUUUAAGCGAGGAGGAGGCUCUUUUGGUUAAUACCCAAGAUGAGUGGACGUUACUCGCAGAAUAAGCACCGGCUAACUCUGUGCCAGCCGCCGCAGUAA
This 503-nucleotide ribosomal RNA is filed under the name uncultured bacterium. Its description in RNAcentral is "partial 16S ribosomal RNA". It matches the Rfam family "Bacterial small subunit ribosomal RNA", at positions 30 to 523 of the family's 1533-position model. The record is from RNAcentral.